RNAcentral lists this ribosomal RNA (583 nucleotides) under Klebsiella pneumoniae. RNAcentral's name for it is "partial 23S ribosomal RNA". It matches the Rfam family "Bacterial large subunit ribosomal RNA", at positions 1183 to 1767 of the family's 2925-position model. Lineage: Bacteria; Pseudomonadati; Pseudomonadota; Gammaproteobacteria; Enterobacterales; Enterobacteriaceae. The record is from RNAcentral.
UAAACCAUGCACCGAAGCUGCGGCAGCGACACUAUGUGUUGUUGGGUAGGGGAGCGUUCUGUAAGCCUGCGAAGGUGUGCUGUGAGGCAUGCUGGAGGUAUCAGAAGUGCGAAUGCUGACAUAAGUAACGAUAAAGCGGGUGAAAAGCCCGCUCGCCGGAAGACCAAGGGUUCCUGUCCAACGUUAAUCGGGGCAGGGUGAGUCGACCCCUAAGGCGAGGCCGAAAGGCGUAGUCGAUGGGAAACAGGUUAAUAUUCCUGUACUUGGUGUUACUGCGAAGGGGGGACGGAGAAGGCUAUGUUAGCCGGGCGACGGUUGUCCCGGUUUAAGCAUGUAGGCUGGUUGUCCAGGCAAAUCCGGAUAAUCAAGGCUGAGGUGUGAUGACGAGGCACUACGGUGCUGAAGUAACAAAUGCCCUGCUUCCAGGAAAAGCCUCUAAGCAUCAGGUAACAUCAAAUCGUACCCCAAACCGACACAGGUGGUCAGGUAGAGAAUACCAAGGCGCUUGAGAGAACUCGGGUGAAGGAACUAGGCAAAAUGGUGCCGUAACUUCGGGAGAAGGCACGCUGGUGUGUAGGUGAAG